CGUGUAGGCGGCCAGAAAAGUCCGCUGUGAAAACUCGAGGCUCAACUUCGGGCUGUCGGUGGAAACUUUCUGGCUAGAGUCCGGAAGAGGAGAAUGGAAUUCCUGGUGUAGCGGUGAAAUGCGCAGAUAUCAGGAAGAACACCCGUGGCGAAGGCGGUUCUCUGGGACGGUACUGACGCUGAGACGCGAAAGCGUGGGGAGCGAACA
RNAcentral lists this ribosomal RNA (207 nucleotides) under uncultured bacterium. RNAcentral's name for it is "partial 16S ribosomal RNA". It matches the Rfam family "Bacterial small subunit ribosomal RNA", at positions 568 to 774 of the family's 1533-position model. The record is from RNAcentral.